AAAAGCUUAAGUUAAUUAAAACUGUAAACCUUCAAAGUUUAACAUAUGAUCCAUUUCAUAGCUUUUG
This 67-nucleotide transfer RNA is filed under the name Ramisyllis multicaudata. Its description in RNAcentral is "tRNA-Trp". Lineage: Eukaryota; Metazoa; Annelida; Polychaeta; Phyllodocida; Syllidae. The record is from RNAcentral.